RNAcentral lists this long non-coding RNA (547 nucleotides) under Salvia miltiorrhiza (redroot sage). RNAcentral's name for it is "long non-coding RNA (SMIL_LNC003125)". The record is from RNAcentral. Lineage: Eukaryota; Viridiplantae; Streptophyta; Magnoliopsida; Lamiales; Lamiaceae.
CGAUGAGCUCUGCUUGCUCAUUAAGAGGACCCGCAGCUGAACUGGAGGAUGAUAUGCUUUCACGAGGACUAAUUCAGCUGACGUUUCAUAGCGAUUUUGGUUAAGGGAUCCUCUACGUCGGGCUGGCGACUUUAAAACUAGCGCUUGGUGGGAGGCAACCCACCGUUGGUUUAGUUUUUGUUUUUGUUUGUCUUUUGUUUUUUUUUUUUUCCAUUUUUGUUUCGUUCCUAAUGUUUGGUUGCUUGUGCGGAUACUUUGAUUUUUGGGUGUUAAUUACUUUGUUUUCAGCACUGCAAUUUCUGCUCUGACCUUGCUGCCAGCGCUGCCCAGAUCCAGCGCUGAAGAAUGCCAACACUUCCCAGUCCAGCGCUGCCCAGAUCCAGCGCUGCCGUUUCUACUCUGUAGAAAGCCGCAAACCUCACUUUUCGCCGCCUCUCACGAUGCUGCAGCUUUUCAAUGCCGAUAAUCAGGGAUGUUUUCUAACUCUUUUUCUUUUGUGCCCUGAGGACAUGGCAUGCUUUAAGUGUGGGGGGGUAUAUUGUUAGAC